This 906-nucleotide long non-coding RNA is filed under the name Olea europaea (common olive). RNAcentral's name for it is "long non-coding RNA (OEUR_LNC012066)". The record is from RNAcentral. Lineage: Eukaryota; Viridiplantae; Streptophyta; Magnoliopsida; Lamiales; Oleaceae.
CGGUCAUUUUCUUCUUGGAUUUACAGAUGGAGAACAUCAACCCCAAAAUCGAAAGAAAUAAUUGAAAUGAGACGUUUGCAAUUGGGGACGCGGAGAGUGACGGUGGAAUUAGCAUAUAGGUGGUGGCGGGCGGUGGUUCUAGGUGGUGGAGUAGGUUAGUUUAGCCCAAUCUAUGGUUCUUUGUCAGCGGAUUAUUGAAGAAGACGAGAUUUUACAGGGAGGGAUUCAGAGUUUUUUGAGUUUUGUUUAGUGAAGUCUUUUUCGUUUGGGGUCUUAAAUGGUUUCUGUCGCGACUAGUUUGGUUUGACUGUGUUUGGCUGGGAAUAAGUUGUUUUCUCUCGUAAAAAAGAUUUCCUGUUUGGUAGGGAUUUUGAGAAUUAAUUUUUUUAUCGUUAAAAGAAAAGUGGGGUCCACAUGUGAGAGAAGAAGUCAAAAAUUACGGUUUGAAUAGUAAAAUAUCGGUCAAAAAAUCCCUACCAAACGGAGCGGAGGACGGAUUCUCGGAGGCUUGAAAGAGAAGUACGGCUAGAUAACGAGGAUUGCCAUGAAUCUUUAUAGAAGCUCGAGGUGGAUGCUGUGCUUGGGAUCAUGAAAUUGUUGGUGCUGGUUGAUGAGUUUUCUAUUGAAGAUUGUUGGGAUUUCUUGGAUUUUCUCGGUGAUGAUGAUUUUGGUCUGGUUGAGUGUUCAAUGACUUCUGCGGUCAUUUUCUUCUUGGAUUUACAGAUGGAGAACAUCAACCCCAAAAUCGAAAGAAAUAAUUGAAAUGAGACGUUUUGCAAUCGGGGACGCGGAAAGUGACGGUGGAAUUAGCAUAUAGGUGGUGGCGGGCGGUGGUUCUAGGUGGUGGAGUAGGUUAGUUUAGCCCAAUCUAUGGUUCUUUGUCAGCGGAUUAUUGAAGAAGACGAG